This is a long non-coding RNA of Lagopus muta (rock ptarmigan), 842 nucleotides long. RefSeq lists it as uncharacterized. NCBI's taxonomy places the organism in Eukaryota, Metazoa, Chordata, Aves, Galliformes, Phasianidae. The record is from RefSeq and is a predicted model, not a curated record. The transcript is spliced from 3 exons.
CUCUUUUGGAGGUUGCCUCUACUGGAGUUUUGCAAGUGAGCCUAGGAUAUGACCCACAGUGACUGAAGUUGUAUUGCAUGAAAUGCUCUUAGCUGGUUAGAGACUCUCAGCACUGAGAAUGGUGUUCGGAAGCAGAAAGAAUAUGUGUAUGAGGAAAUGAAGGGCAUGCUGGAUCAUUGCCAGGAGAUCUCCCUUGGGAGAACAGGUAAGUAAUUUUUCAAGCCUGAUACAAAAGGGAUUGUUCCUGUAAGGAGGAAGAUCUACUGGAGAUCUGCUGUUUCACCUCUGCUAUUCCCUGGAGAAAAAAUACCUUGACUGCUUUCUCCUAUGGUAUUAGAGAGGGUGCCUCGGGACAUGGUCUUGUCCUGGUCUUCUGAACAGCUUCCUCACUCAACCUCUUCUGGUUCCUGGUGUAGAAACCAGCCACUCAUAUCCAGAUGCUGCUAAGUUUAAGGAGCUGUGAAAUUGGUUCAUGAGAACCUUGACCGUGGAAGAGAUCUCCAUUAAUACUGGAAAAGGCCUUCUCACACAAAACUGCGUUUAUGGGACUUACAGCUGACAGAAGAUGACAGCCCACUGCCAGAGAGAAGAAAAGGGCAGGAUGAAGAAACAGGAAAAAGAAGGAAGGCCCUCUGCCACAGUUCAUUGCAAAGAGAUGCAAUAUCUUCCUUUGGAUGUUCUCUCCAGUGCAGCAGCUCGUGAUGACAGCGGUGUUUUAACCAGCUUACUCAUCACCCUGUUUUCUCCUCCCAUGGACUGGCGCAGCCUGGGUGGCCAUUUCACAUAGGAGCUGACAUUCCCUCUCAUAGAUGUCAUGGCACAUGGACCAAGCAAGUGGCACU